UCAGGUCGGGUCAGUGGUGACAUCACCGUCAGCACGCGCCUCUGGAAAUUUCUAGAAAGCGCAACUGCAGCGGUGAACGGUUGAAAAUGGCGAAUAAAGUGGGGGCUGAAAGUGAAGAGGAAUUGGGCACAGGAGAUGCACAGAUUGCUUCAGAAAGUGACCCCCAGUCAGAGACAACUUUAGAUGUGGAGCCAACACAGCAUGCAUUGGAAGAUAAAUCACACUUUAAAAUUAAAAGCCUCUUCAGAGCUUGUGGAAAGAAACAUGAACAGGUGCAAGAAUUCUAUUCAAAGCACAAAAAAAUUAUUCAUCGUGUAAUUCGGAUCGUCUUCCUGACAGGGUACUUUUGCAUGGUGAUCGCAGCAUGUAUUUUGAAUUUUCAAAGAGCCCUGGGACUCCUUAUUUUAACAUUGAUUGCCAUUUUCUUUUACUUUUGGGAUACACUUAUUACGAAGUAUGGAGAUACAAUUGCUGAGUUUAUUUCUUCACAUAGCAAGUUCAUAAAACAAAAGUGGAUUCUAUUCAAAAUAUUGCUGUAUAUGGUUCUACUUGUAGUAAUUAUACUUUGGCUUAUUCUGGACACAGCCAGUCAAAGCACAAACCAGCUAAUUUCCGUUAUUGGACUUCUGUUAUUCAUUUUGUUCUUGUUCAUCUUCUCCAAACGUCCAAAAAAGGUAAGAUGGAGAACUGUUUUCUGGGGCGUAGGCUUGCAGUUUGUUUUUGGACUCCUUAUUUUGAGAACAAGAGCAGGAUUCCAUGCUUUUGAGUGGAUGGGACAUCAAGUGCAGAUUUUCUUAAACUAUGCAGACGCUGGUUCAAAAUUUUUAUUUGGUGCAACAUACACGGACCACUUUUUUGCAUUUAAGGUUUUACCAAUAGUGAUUUUCUUCAGCACAACAAUUUCCAUAUUGUAUUUUCUUGGAUUUGUACAAUGGCUCAUUUUGAAGAUUGGCUGGAUAAUGCAAAUUUCCAUGGAUACAUCUCCCACAGAGUCAUUGGUGGCAGCAGGCAACAUAUUUGUGGGACAGGCUGAAUCUCCACUGCUAAUUCGUCCAUAUAUAUCGGAUCUCACAAAGUCUGAAAUUCAUUCUGUAAUGACUAGUGGAUUUGCUACCAUUGCAGGAUCUGUCCUGGGGGCAUAUGUUUCAUUUGGGAUUCCAGCUGCCCAUUUGUUAACAGCUUCUGUGAUGUCUGCUCCUGCAGCUCUGGCUGUAGCCAAACUGUUUUGGCCUGAAGAAGAAGUUCCAAAGAUAACAACCAAAACUAACCUCAAGUUGGAUAAAGGUGAAGCAAAAAACAUAAUAGAAGCAGCCUGUUUAGGAGCCUUUGCAUCAAUUGGUUUGGUGGCAAACAUUGCUGUUAACCUUAUUGCAUUUCUGGCACUCCUGGCUUUUCUUAAUGCUGUGCUGUCCUGGUUGGGAAACAUGUUUGAUGAGCCUCGGCUCAGUUUUGAGCUAAUUUGUUCCUAUGUCUUCAUGCCACUUGCCUUCAUAAUGGGAAUAGACUGGAAUGACAGCUUUAUGGUUGGCGAGCUCCUCGGAGUGAAAACUUUCUUCAAUGAAUUUGUAGCUUACGAAAAGUUAUCUAGCCUGAUUGCCAAAAGAAUUGAAGGCAACCUUGAGUAUGUUGAUGGUUUGAAGCAGUAUUUAUCAGCCCGUUCCGAAGCUAUUGCUACAUAUGCCCUCUGUGGAUUUGCUAAUUUUGGUUCUGUUGGCGUUGUUAUCGGAGGACUGUUAAAGGGAGAGUGACGGCGCUUGACAUCAAGAAAACAUUUUACUGAAUGUGGCAUCAAGGAGGAGCCCUUGCCAACCUAUGUCAUUGAAGCUCAGGGAAAACCUCCCUCUGUGGCCAAAGUCAUACCUAACAAAUGAAGAUGACUGUGUUUGUUGGAUGCUCAACAUCUUAGCCCAUGGACAUUGCUACAGGAGUUCUUUAGUUCUGGGCCAGCUUUCUUCUGCUUGAAUCAUUAAUAAUCUUACCUCUGUUAUAAGCAUCUUUGGCUCCAGAAAGACUGCAUGACAUAGCAAGCGUCAGUAUUCGGGCUCUCAUCGCUGGUACUGUUGCCAGCUUCAUGACCGCCUGCAUUGCAG
This is an RNA transcript of Rhincodon typus (whale shark), 2090 nucleotides long. It is a transcript of the gene named solute carrier family 28 member 3-like, with no coding region annotated. NCBI's taxonomy places the organism in Eukaryota, Metazoa, Chordata, Chondrichthyes, Orectolobiformes, Rhincodontidae. The transcript is spliced from 17 exons. The record is from RefSeq and is a predicted model, not a curated record.